RNAcentral lists this small nucleolar RNA (76 nucleotides) under Dichanthelium oligosanthes. The record is from RNAcentral. Lineage: Eukaryota; Viridiplantae; Streptophyta; Magnoliopsida; Poales; Poaceae.
GAGCAGAUGAUGAUUCCAUAUCUUUAUGCUGAUACAUAUGAUGUAUCAAAAUCGAGCUUUUUAAAACUGAUGCCCA